Long non-coding RNA from Cyprinus carpio carpio, 439 nucleotides. The record is from Ensembl. NCBI's taxonomy places the organism in Eukaryota, Metazoa, Chordata, Actinopteri, Cypriniformes, Cyprinidae.
UUAUACAGAUGCUCAUCUCUGCCAAAACUCACGUGACUACAACGCAAACACAGCAUCACAGUUCAUCACUUUACUUUAAUUGCUUCUUCACUCUGGAUUAACCAACAGAAGCUGAAGGAAUGGCAGACAUUACUCAGACACCUGUGAACACUGAGCAGUGGUUGGAGUCCAAGACAGUGAAAUCAUCUUUAUUAUACUUCUGACUGAACUAGCAAGGAGCAUUAGAGACAAUGAGAAAAACUCAAAAGAAGAUACUUUGAAGAAUGCUGGUAAUCAAACCCAACAAGUUUGUCAGGUGCAGAAAUAAAAGCUCCCAAACAAAGAUGUCACCGGAUUAAGAUGUGGAAAGACAUGUUACACCACAACAACUAUAAAUCCUGAGUAAUUUGAAUAUGGGCAACAACCAAGAAAAAUUACCCAUUGAUUUAGUCAGAAAUGA